GCCGGCCGGGUGACCCCGGCCCCUUGGGGCUCCCGCGCUCCGUCAGCAGGCGACGCUGGGAGGCUGGGGUAGGCCCAGAGCGAGGACGGGCCCGGACUGGGUAGUGGGGAUGUACCAGGGCCGGGUGCGGCGGGAGACGGCCCGGGAGGCGGAAGGUCGCGGACCUGCCCGACAGAAGAGUAGAUGAGGGGAGACCGAGGACGCCCGGGUCCGGGGAGCUUACGAGGAGGCCAGGAUCGCGGGGUCUUAAGAUAUGAAGACAAUGGGAUAACUGAGGCUGAUUUUGCUGUGUGGCCAUUAGACCUAGAAAUAUUGGUGUGAUUCUGGAGUUGAUUGCUCCACACGUUUAUUUAUUUAUUUUCCUUUUUUUCCCUCCUCUUCCUCCUCCUCUAUUCUUUAAAAACGUAUGGAAAUGUAUCCGGCAAUGUUUACUGUAAAAAAUAAUGUAUGGAAAUGACUACAAUUUGCUAAAAUAAAAAUCAUUGAGCACUUA
Molecule: long non-coding RNA, 493 nt
Organism: Homo sapiens (human)
Lineage: Eukaryota; Metazoa; Chordata; Mammalia; Primates; Hominidae
Gene: CPLANE1-AS1
Product: CPLANE1 antisense RNA 1
Source: Ensembl